UAUUUGCUUCUAUUUGCUUCACAGCCUUUUUUCUUUUUCUCUUUUCCCAGCUCUCCUGAGAAGCCGCCUCCACAUCCCGAAUGGGACGGGGGGAGAGAGGGGUUUCAUAAUGCUUCAAGAAGAAGACGAAGAGAGGAAAAGAAGAAGAAGAAAAAAAAAACCCUAAGCUUUAAUUUUAAUUCUCCUGCCUUUAUUUAUCUGAUUUGUGGCCAGAUGGUGGUGAAGCAAGGAAACCCUUUGUGCCCACGAAGCACACAUGUGAAAGUGCUUCUGUAAUGUAAUCAUUGAGACCGGAAGGGUUCAUACUGUGUCUGAAAAGAGACAAUGGAGCCGGGAUAUAUCAACAUCGCCGAAAUCGAGUUCAUUCGCGAUGCAGGCCCUUUGACUGCGGUUGUCAUGAAAACUUCCUGCUUUGAUCAGCAGAGGGUGGCGAGGGGGCCGGGCGCGCCGUGCACUUGGCGGCCGGUCCGCCCCCUCCGCGGGGCACCCGGAGCGCGGCGAUCCGCACCUUGACCGGCGGCACCGGGCGGGCCGGGCCGGGGCGGCUCCGGUACCGGGGGCGGGCGGCGCUCUUUGACCCUCGGCUUGGUCGGGGAGUCCGGUUUUGUCGGGAAAGCCGAAUCCGCGCCGGGAUGCGGACAAAGACACGGAGCAGCUGUUCGGGAAUAAAGCUGAAAUAGUAGAACCUGGGAGAGAAGUUAGCUUGGGGGAGCUAUUAUUUUCGCCGCAAAACCCUCGGGAGGUAUUAAACAGCUGCAUCCAAACGACGGAGCGACCCAAAGGCCGGGAUCCCACCGCCUCGCCGUCGAGCAGCGGGCGCGUGGCUCAGCGCACGGCCGCAGGUUCCUGUGCAAAGAGCAGCGUAGCAGAGCGGUUGGGAACGCUAUGCUGGACAGAGGACGGCCGGCCGCGAGCGGAGCCUCCCACCGGCGAGCAUUGCCAGGCGAAGAGAGAAAACCUGGGCAGCCUUAAAACACUCAGAGUGUAA
Molecule: long non-coding RNA, 988 nt
Filed under: Phasianus colchicus (ring-necked pheasant)
Lineage: Eukaryota; Metazoa; Chordata; Aves; Galliformes; Phasianidae
Description: lncRNA (ENSPCLG00000000968.1)
Source: RNAcentral